UCCGUCAUUACAUAUUAUAUUAUAUUGCAUGCGAGGCUGCAGUCCCACACAGCCCCACUCCACUUGUUCCACUCAAACCCUUCGCUCGGGGCGAAGAAGACGGCCGCGAACGUGGCGAAGAGGCGAUGCGAGAUGGUGGCAUCACGGUGUGGACCACUCCACGGCAGGCAGGCAUCGCCGGAUAUUCCAUGGGAUGUGCGUUCGAUCCCUUCGGAGCCAAAGGCAAAAAGACGUGCCACUGUCUGCUGUUUCGAACUGAAACGUACAGUAUAAUAUCGAAUAGCUUACCCUCCACCUAACCCGCCCAUUAUUAUGUACUCGUCGGCUCCCUCUCCUCCGUUCAUCGAUCGUUAUUGCUGCGUGACUUGACACCCACAAGACGCAUAAAGCCUGCGUAUUGUGUCAUCAGAUGCCAACAUGCAUCUACUCGAAUCCCAACUUCAGUUCCCGUUAACCUGCAUGAUUCCUGUAGAUUAUGAUGAUACCUUUAAAUAAUAGAAGAGAUGAAGAAUGAUAGAGAAGCACAUUACAUCACUCGUGGUCUACAUAGUCUGCUGGAAUUACCUCAGUUCCUACAUUGACCCAUUGAUGAUCCCGCUUGAGAUCUCAAAUGGCACCCACCUCAGGUAGCUCUGUGUCCAGAAGCUGCAGCUACGACCAUUUCUUUCCAACGU
This 674-nucleotide long non-coding RNA is filed under the name Musa acuminata (dwarf banana). RNAcentral describes it as "long non-coding RNA (MACU_LNC003712)". The record is from RNAcentral. Lineage: Eukaryota; Viridiplantae; Streptophyta; Magnoliopsida; Zingiberales; Musaceae.